CAAAAAUAGAAUUCCUACUUUCUUCCACCACCCCCGGUGUCAGAGAUUAGCUUGCUGCGCAACGGGACCGGCCGGAAAUAAUGGGUACCUUGGCAGCCCUCUGGGCUCUGUUUGUUUUGAAGUCGCCGCGACGCCCCGGCCAAAUUUUGGUAAGUCCCCUGGGUGUGCACAACCGAGGUCCCUUGUCCUUGCUCAUUUGGGAAGAUCUGCAUAGCAGAUGUUCAUUUUUUGGGCGCCCCCGAGUGUAGGACACGGACUAAGCUGGGACUGGAAGCACUUUGGUUUCUAGUUUUGGUCUUUGUUUUGGCUUCCGUUUGUGGCCAAGGGUUUUUGGGAAUGUGCGCUUGUUUGGUAUUUGUUGUUAUCUGUCUGUCUGUCUGUCCUUUCAAAAGUGUUAACAUGGGAGAUGCUCAUUUAUUCCACCUAAGAGCCCAUUGGGAAAAACUUUGGCUGAUGGUCGACCUAUAGCCAUAAGGCAAUGUCUAAAGAGGGAUGAUUUUCUUUUGUAACACCACGUGGCCACAAUAUUCUUUAGACUCUGG
This is a non-coding RNA of Equus caballus (horse), 542 nucleotides long. The record is from RefSeq and is a predicted model, not a curated record. Lineage: Eukaryota; Metazoa; Chordata; Mammalia; Perissodactyla; Equidae.